Molecule: long non-coding RNA, 21923 nt
Organism: Chroicocephalus ridibundus (black-headed gull)
Lineage: Eukaryota; Metazoa; Chordata; Aves; Charadriiformes; Laridae
Exons: 6
Source: RefSeq, a predicted model, not a curated record
GCUAGGAGGAACAGUCCUUAGAAAGAAGUCUUUUUCUCUUGCUCUCUGUGGCAGAGACUACCAGAGAUAUUUGGAGUGACACAGAUGAUGCCACACACCCUGGGGUUUGGCUCAGGUUACCUCCUGGGCAAUUUCCAUGAGUAUCCAGGACUCAACAGAGAUCAUCAGUUCCCACCAGCAGCAUGAAGCCCCUGAAGCGUUAGAUGCGGAGUUGCUUGCAAAUCGACCUCAGAGCAAAAUGUAAGAAGCCCAGGAAGAAGAUUCUCAAGCUCUGCAGAGGUUUGGUCCAGGCCUGUGUGCCGCCCUCAUCAACAUGCCCACUAAUGUCACCAGAACUAAGGACGUGAGGAGGAUGAGGCCUUUGGCACCCGACAAGUGACAGCAUGGUGGUACAAAGCUCGAAACCAAAAGUGACCAGACUUCAGACAAAGAAUUAUUAGGGAAGCUGCUGAAGCCUCCACACAGGUGUCUGACAGCAGUCCCACCACGGCGGAUGGGAAACUGCCUCACGACUCAGCCUCUUCUCCCCCAUCCCUGAGGAUGCAGCUUCCACCAUGACACAUCCCAUCUUUGCCUCCCCAGGUGAGGAACGAGCAGCUUCGAACUUCUACAGAACUGCACCAUACCUUGAAUUAUUUUAACUCAAGCCAUUCCGUCGCUGAUAGAGAACCGCAUAUUACCCGGUUAAUUUUCGGAGUCACACUGACUGGUGAUCCUUUGUCCCAUAAGGUAAGCAUAGCACACUAGACGGAUAGACUGCGGCAGAACGAGUUACAUGUUGCAUUUAGAGGCAAGUAUCGCUUUAAAAAAAUUUACCUGCCUGCCAAAAACUGGGCAAAACAAGAGGGUAAGUUCAGCUCAGUGCAUAGAGUAGUUCCUCACUGCCUGACUCCCCUCCCGGCUGCCGGGAAUGCCUGGCAUGUCAGGUAACCCAUGCUGAGCAACAGCCCAAAAGCACUUCUUUGCUUGUAAAAAUGAAACAAGCUCCAUAUUGAAAAAAGUGAUUUUCAGAGGUACUGUAGUUGCGGAUAAGUCUGCAGCCGUGCUGCUCAGCCAUCACACAGAGCCCAGGCGCCCAGCAGAGGCCAGAUUUAAGCAGUGCUGGUCGAUAUGUGUGUAGCAGGGACCACUGCAAUCCCGAAGAGGCAACUCCAGCUGCCUUGUGCCAGGGCAUCCUAUGGCUGCCUUUCCUCGCUUCUUCAUGACCCAAGCGACAAACAUUAAGAUGAAACAAGCAUUAACAAAAUAUAGCUAUUUAAUUGUUCAUAUUCUGUAAUUCAGGAGAGCCCCUGGGACGUCCUGUGCUGUUUUGACCUCUAGUACUUCCCUGACUCAUCAGCAACUCUGUUGUUUCAUGUUGGUAAAUCUUUCAUCCAUGUUGGUAGCAUCCAUAGUGUAGAUGCUGUUCUCUCCUGGUUGGGCUGCAGCUGCAGCUGGCAGCUUCUCCAUGAAGAAGCGUACUGAUUUUCUGCGGCUGUGGUGAUCUGAUAUUAUAGGUGCUGUACAGUCUCAGAUAGGAGGUCUCAAAUAGCGGAGUCUCCUGUCUGUUCAAGGCCUUCCCAGCUGAAUCUCUUUGUAACCUUCUCCUCUUAGGCUUGAGGGCGGUGUUAGCUGCUUGGGCUCUUUCACACGACAAGGUUUGUAACAUCUGCCCAAUGCCAUGCGUUAUGACAGUAAACGAUACUGCUUAUAACAAACAUCUCCCGGGUUUCCUUUGACUUUUCAGUCUCUGAAUGGUUUUCAGACAUCCUGUGGCCAGUGUCUGUCUAUACCACCUUAGUAGUAUAGAAAAUCCUGGUGAUUUUGGCAUUGAGGAUUCCUGUGAGGCUGGUGCAGAGGCUGGUAAGAAGCUGCCCUGAACCCCCGGGGUCAGGAAUACCACGUCCUCUCUGUGUUUGGACUGAUACUGGAGAGGCUUUAGAAGGGUCAGACAGACAUGCACAUUAUCCGGCAUGGGACUUUGUGGCAUGGGACUUUGUGCACAACCAGCAAUUUACAGAUGUACCCCUAAAAUUCACAUCGAAGUCUGAUCUUUUUUUUUCUGCACACUAUUUUAUGCAGUGUAUCAUGUCCAACAUGACUGUAAUCUGUCUUCUGUCUUACUCAGAUCCAGCUCUGCCUCCUGCUAUUUUAACUCCUCUCCCAGGGAUAUCUGUUAGAUGGACUUUUCAUUCCAUUAUUUGGGCUCAUGUCACAUUUCACCACUGUUUUGCCCCAAAUCAAAGCAGCAACCUCACUCCCUCCGUGCCCAUGGCUCCCAAAAACUAGGAAGCUGCUCUGAGGCGGUCGGUCUCCAUGGAGUUGUGGUAACGAGCUGCGGUGACUGUACACCUUUAUGUUAUUAAAAGCAAACAGACCUGUCCAGAUUUUUUUUCCAGGGGUCAGGCGUGCUGCCUCCCUGCCAGCUCGCUGUUUUCCCUGUCUGACAGUGUUCGCUGUGGCCACUCAUGCUUGGCUGGAGGAUACGCUCCCUGGAUCCGCUUAGGCACGUCUGUCUCCUACGUGUCCAGCGUAUGUUGGGUAAACGAUGUCAGAUCUUUGCUGGAACUACUGGAUGGCUAUUUAAGAAAAACACCGGGAGUUAGGACAGGCGCAUCCCGCCGUGCUUAUCAUGGACAGUAAGUUACAGCAAUUGCCAGAGCCUCCCUUCUGGGCUGUAAAGGUUUUGCAAACAGACAUCUGCACAGCGUGCCCUGCUCGGUGCAUUGCCAGAGACAUUGCUGGGCAGUACCCUCUCCUCACCUAAGAGCUUUAGGGUCCCAGUGACAUGUGUUACAGUUGUCUGAGCACUCAGCAGUGACUUCUUUGUGAUGCUGCCUAAUUUCUCCAGGGCUGGAUCCGUUUCUCUCAAUAAUUCCACUUGCAGGCUGUAAUCCCACAAGCCACACUGUUUUUAAUUAGGGGUUCCAUAAUGUCUCCGAAGAUAUGCAUACUGUCAGAGAUCUUAUAUCUGAAACAUAAGGCUCUAUUGCCCCUUAUUUUUCUUCUCGGUUUUGAGCACAAUUACUGUGUCCCUCUACAGUCUUAUUCUGUCCAGGUCAAGUCUUCAAAUAACUUUCUCAACGGUUCAAUUGUUCCAAGUAUUAUUUUGAAAAUAGUCUCUCCCAGGUCAUUUCUUGCCCUCGUUGCUCAGUGAGACAGUAAAAAGUUCUACUUCCAUGUUUUCUCACUGUCUUUGACGGCCAACUCCAUGUAUCAAUUCAUUUCUUCCCUCUGCUGAAUCCGCAUUCACAUGGAGACUUCAAGCUGUCUUUUUGAGCUCCCAGUGACCUGAGUCCCCUCUGGCAGCUUGCCUGCUCUGUUUCCAGGCUGUCUUUCUUUGCCUGGACGAUGGGGCAGUUCGUUAGUGAGGCGGCUGCUGCUGCAGUGAUGCACGUACCACGCUGGCUGAUGAUAUAAGCUCGGUCCCACACUCUUAUAAAGGGACAGUUUAUCUCCAGCUGCAGGUCACUCUCUUGCUGUGUGCUUCCUGAUGCCACCUCUGGAGACUUCCCGCAUAGACCCUGUGCCUGGUCCUCCCUCCUCUGGAACUGAGCAUACAGAAAUACUUGAGUAAAAGAAUUCAAAAGCAAUUUCUGCCGUCCCUUAUGGACUACCACCACUACUAAUGUUAGUAAGAGAGAAGUUCUGUUAGGGCCUGUAGCACAUCCCUCAGGUAGCUGUUGCAAAUGGGAAGCAUUUAAAGGUGGGCUUUGUCCUAAUAUCGUCUGUUGGAAAGGACUUUCUGUUCCAUAUAUUUCAUGUUAUUGCCCUGAAAAGCUAAAUGGGAAAGCAUACUACUAAUUGAAGUGCUUAUGGAAAUUAAAUCCAUGUUUAAAGGAAUUUAAAAUUUUUAAUGCAAAAUUCAGCAGCUAGAAAUUUUGCACCAACUUCUACUUAAUUAAAAUUAAUAAGGUUUCAAAGAGUUUCAGUUGGGAUAGACCAGGAAAGAAUUUGGCCUUAAACGUGUAAUUAAAAUACAAUUACAUUGGAAAGAAGUCAUUACUGAGGUUGUACCUCAAAAGCAUACCUAAUGGGCUAUCAGGAGAAAAGGCUUGUGCAUUUGGUACACCAGCUAUAUAAGAUAUGAAAGGAUGUAGUCACUGAGAGAAAGAGAUAUUAGCAAGAUCAUUUUGGUAGACAGUAACAGUCCUUUUAUGGCCAAUUCCUUCUGGCAAUAUUCAGCAAGGGAUCCGCUCCAUCUUAGGUUGGGACGUACAAGGAACCUCAGCAAGUUUUUAUUCUGAGACUUUUAGUUGUUUCCCAGCCCUCUGCAGGGCUGUGAGCAAGGGAAGCAUCUUUCAAGCAAUGUCAGACAUCUCUAGAUAAGGGAAACUUUAGAACCGAAAGAACUCAGUUGCCCGAUUUUGGGAACCACUUGCCAAAGAUAUAUUCAAAGCGAAGGGCCUAAUCCAACCCAGGGAGGGAGCUCUCCUCUUGGUCCCUGUACCCGUCUGCAUGAAGCCCUGAGCACAGCACCCAGAAUGGCAGUGUUAGAGUUAUGCGCAGCUCUGCAUUUGCAGGUGUUUUGUUUUACUUUAUUGCUACGACAGCCCUAUAAAAAAGAAUUUAAGAACUAUGACAUUCCACAAGAAGCACAAAACAGACGGGCUAGGGAGUAAGGUGGCAGUGUGAGCAUAAAACUGAAGCUGCUUUGUGCUCUUUGGAGCCAGAACAACCCAUCAUUCAUUUGAUUAUUUGUUUUGUUGAUGGUGGUGGGUUUUUUUAUUUGUUUGUGAUGGGGUUUUUUGGUAAUAUGUGAUAGGUUUUGUUUCAAAGUCCACUGAAGUCAGUGGUGAGGUCCUGUUGACCGUGCCAAAUUUUGGGUUAAGUUUAUGGAAAAAAAUGCAUUAGCUUUUAAAAUAAACCAUAUGUGUAGUCAAAGAUGCAAAGUUCACAAUCCCAUUGGGACCAGCUCUUUUUCAAAGGUUCAGAGUCAUGGAUUGAUUUGAACGAUCUGGAAAACCUGGAUGUAACCUUGAAUUCAAAACGCAUCAGGAGGAUUUGCUUGUAAGCUUUUGAUUUAACCUCGUCUUUUCACGUAACUUUCUGAGUUUUUUAACUGUGAUUUUUACAAGUACAGUGAGUCUUGUAAAAGAAGUGUGGGAGAGGAAAUGUGAACGUCUCAGCUGCGCAGUGUCCCCUUUGAUGCAGUACAAAAACCGGUGGUCUCGUAGUAACACACCUGAAAAAGCAGCCUUUAUAUCUUCCUCAAGCUAAUUAAAAUACAAAUUCAAGCAGAUGAGCAAUGCAAUAUUACUAAAGUGUCCAUUUGUUAACUUGUCAGCCCCUGAAGAAUUUCCCGGUUCAGUCGUGACUGAGGUAAGCGGCACCAGAGUACUCGGCCAUGGAAACUGCAGCUGGAAAAAAAGCACCUCUUGAAACCACAAAACUCACAAGGACUGACGUGGGGUGACAUUAACUAACAGCAUCAAAUAAACAGAGCAAAACUAUGCUCCCAAUCACAAAGGUCACAGAAAAGCCACACAAGUUUGCCUUAUGGUGAGUUUUGCCUUUUUGUACCCGUAUGAAACACUUUUUUUAAUGCUUCCGGGGUGGAUGGUGAAGCUUAACAGAGAAGCUAAUGGCCUGAAGUAAAAAGCUGAGACAGGCAAGGGGCAUCGCUUGUGUCCACACACUGUCAACGUCAACGUGUUGUGAGUAUGACUUUUGCCCCCUGCAAACCACCACCGCUGCUCCCCACCAGCCGGAGGCACUGGUUGGGCAGGUGCUGUCAAACAGAGAGCAUCAUCAUGGCCAAAUCCCAUCAGGUGUGGGCAGAGGCCACCCAACCCUUUUCACAUGUAUUUUAUACCAAGUGCGGAACGAUAUAGGUAUUCACUGACUGAUGGCUGCGCUGUUCAACUCACAGGAUUGUCCAGGUCCUUUUGAUUUAUAUUUUGUAUCCCACACACAGCUUAAAAGCUUUAUCUUCUCUCUAGUCUUUUAAUUUAUAAGCUGUGUAACUAGAAUGCAUGAGGGGGUUAUGUCCAAGAAUUUCAGGAUUUGCCAUCAGUUUUGCAUAGGGACAUGGGGUAAUGCCAACUUCCUUUUUCCUUUUUUUUUUCUUUUACUCACUAAAGGCAAAACACAAAUCUGCAUUUUAAAGCAGCUCUCUCAAAAUCGCAUGGCCAUAUAAUCGCAAUCUAUCGGACUAAAAAUUAAAUCUAAAAUUAGACAUAGAACAUUACCAGCCCAGGAUUUAAGGUUUAUAUUGCUGCGAAUUUCUAGGAAAAUAUUUAAGAAUCAAUUUAAAUGCUAAUGAUCUGGUUUGCCACAAAACUAGAUAGUAGUCAUACUCAGUAGCUGCAUCAGAGCCAUAGAACUGGUCUUUGCUGUGUCGGACUUCACUUGUGACAUUAUGUAUGUAAUUUUGCAAGUGUUCCUGUGUAUCACAGACCCAUGUACUACACCACAGCGAAAAGAGACUUCCCUGAAACCCUGUAGAAACCAAGUUCUCAAAAACUGAAAUAAUCCGUGUGGACUUUGGAAAUCUGACUGGAGAGCCAGAGAUGAACUCAUGGAAACCUGAGGAAGAGGUAAAGGCAGGAGUACUUACCUCUUCCCCCCUGUACCUGGUGGCUUGCUGUGUUGCCCAACUUUGCCUACAGGAUGUUCCCUAUAGUUUGGAGACCUCAAAACAGCCCUACUCGGAUCCCUCUGCCAGUUUUGUGCCAUCCCUUUGGGUUGCAAUUCUUUGAGGACCACAGAGGCUUCCUGCUGUGGGCAGUGGUAGGGUACAGUCCACUAGAGCCUAUUUACAUUUAAAUUGGGACCAACUGCAUUGGUGCCCCUGAAAGACCCUGUGGUUGGGCCCUAGACCAUGUGAUAGAGGUGACGAUGAGGUGGGUCCUUCACACAGCACGCAACCAGUGACGCCAUUGUACAUUUGUCGUAAGGGCCAGGGAAUACUUUCCCACGCAUUUUCUGAAGCAGCCGUGAGCAGCGCUGUACGAGUGAACGACCCUGGGUCAGGCCAUCCACACAAACCUGGAGCAUCUGCUCCAUUCAGCCAGUCACUACCAACUCAUUCCCGAGCUGAUGAAAUCCGGUUUGUUGUGGGGUUGUGUGGAUCUCUCUUGUGUCAGAAGAAGGCUUGCUGUAGAUUCCUGGCUGUCUUCUGUCUGGCUGUUCAUCUCUGUUUGAUUUGCAGGCAUUUCCACUUGGUUAUAUCCACCCUAGAAAACUAAACCGUGUCCAUGGGCAGACUGUCAUCUACACAGCCGAACGGCGAUGGUGAUCCCUCGCCCCAUUUUGGUCUGUGCUGACCAGCACUUUCCCAGCAAUUCCUGGACAUGAUGUGGGAGUCAGGCCUAGGACCAUUCCCAAUACACAGUGUGGGGGAAGAUGAGUUGAAUAACAUGGUCAAGAACUGUUCUGUGCCAAGGAACAGCUCCAAAGACAUUUAAUUAAUUGUUAUAUUUGUAGCAUUUGAAACUACUUAUGUUCAAUCAAACUUGUUCGGAAACUACCUAGCAAAUCCCAAAGUCAUUUGUGAGAGCUGGCAGGGAAGAAAAGAGGAAGUGAAGGAGCAAAUAAACACAUUUGCCAAUAGUAUUUUUUGCUAAAUAACUGGUCUGAAAAAAAAGGGAACAUGGUAGUACUGUGUCAUGUGCAGUGAGCAGGAGAAGAAAGCUUCCCUCCUUGCACAUGUACAUUGGGUCAAAACAGGGCAACCACAAGCAUGUUCAUGAUCUGCAAAAAGUGUACAUGAGGGAAGGGAAGAUCCAUGAGCAACAAGUUGAAGGAGAGUGAGGAAGUUGCCCCAGUGGAGCUGUUGAUGGACGAAAGCUGUUCAUGGAGUGUUCCUACAAAGCAAAGCGCAGUCACCUCGUCUGAUGAAAUGCCCCCUGGACUUUCUGCCAGAAGAGGAAAUGGGAUUUUGAGAUGCAGUCCGGUCUGAAAGAAGAUGGAGAGGGAGGACAAAGACUCAGACCCUUGUUAACCUGGUAGGAAUAUAUCCUGUAAGACAGAGAGUUCUGGAGAACCAGACACUUCACAAGCCCAGCAGAUGCGCAACACCCAAUGCCACCUUGUUUAUCCUGUAUUUCUGCUGAUGUCAUGCCCGAGGGAGCUGCAUCAUGGAUGUGGCUUCCCUGUGCUAAGUGUCAAGCGCCCAAACACAACAGGGAAACAUGGUCCCUGCCAGAGGGCACUCGUGCCAGGGAGCAGAGACACCUCCACUCCCCUUCUGCGGGCAGAGGGAGGGAUGGGGCCCCAUGGCUGUCCCCCCCUCCAUGUCUCGGUGAGCUCAACAGCCUCGGAUAGGACCGAGGCACAGGGAGGUCUGACUGCGCCUCUUCUGAACAAUUGGAGGCUCAUUUUCGUCACAUUGAUCAUUCAUCACGUUGAUUGUUAGUGGGGUUGGAAUUUAAAUAUUAAAGGACAGCCUCAGAAUAAAACAGGCAGAAACCCUAGUCCUUUUUCAUUAAGAAAAUAUCUGGGGGCUUUUUUGCCCUCUCUCCUGAACGAGGUUUGAAAAGACAAGUUAUCCUCAUAAAAUCUUAUAAACGCCCACGAGACAAUUUUGCUUUGAAGUAUCAAUGUGACAGGGCAAAAGCAGAACAAUUUGAUACUAAUGAUUUCAGUCACCAUCCUAAUGCUUCAUGUUUUAAAGAUCAUUUUGCAAUAAAGACAUCAUGAUUUUACAGUCACAUUAGAAUAAUAAACUGUAGCACUUACGGAGUACUUUUCCUCUAAAACAUGAAAUAAAUUGGAGCAAUAAGUGUUUUUCUCAUUUUAGAGUUGGAGAAACUGAGGCCCAAGGACGUGACCUUCUCACAGCACAGUCUGGGAGAACCUCACCUGCCUCCUAGUUCUGGGGCCACCCUUUGGGUCAUGCUGUCCCUCACCUGCUAGUCCGGACAAGAUGACUGAUGACAACUCUCUGCAGGAGAGAGCAGAUGGAGGUUGAUGUUCUGGCUGCCUGCCUUGUGACUUCAGGCACUUCACUAAGGCCUCUCAAAUAGGAGUGUUGAAACUCCCAUUAGGGAAAAAUAAAAGCAGGAAGAAGAAGUGACAAGAUCUAUUCACAAUAGACAAGAUGAAUACAAUUCACCAGACCACCCGAUAAUCUCUGGAGGGAGGCGGGGUGGCUACAGAGUCACCUUUCCCCAUCGUUCUUUCUGAAACAUUCUCUGCCCCUUCAUCUGUGCGAGAGAAGCAGCAGUGUUGUCCCCAACCCAUGUGGCUGCGUCUCACCCCGGUCCAACCAGAGCCUCCAUCGUUGGCAUUACGGGCACCGACAGGUGGGGACCACACAGCCAGGCAGCUGCUGCGAAGCAUCUCUUCGAGUGCAGGGAGCACGAGGAUGUGAGGCUGCCAAUAUGUCAGGUUUCUAAUUAAGAUUCAUCAGCUUCCAACCUGGCUCGAUUCAUUAUUCAUCUGGAAAUUUUCUUCCCCGACUUUCUUCUCUUCUUUCGCUGUCACCCGCUAAGCAAAGGUAUGCAUUUCCCUCCCAGAAGCUCCAUCGACAUCUCUGCUAAUAUGCAGCUCUCAGGGUGCGACAGAAGAGAAAGCGACGGUUACAAACCAGGUCCCGGAGCACUCAUCAAUAUUUACAGGCAUCUGACAAUGACUUAUCUUAGACCAUCUAUGUUUAAACCACAGCAAUGCAAAUGAGGCGCUCUUUGCAUUGCGAGUCGUGAGGAUGGGAUGUUCUAACAUUUUUUGACUUCACUAGUAGAAGGCUGCUCCUCCUCCAGAAAUAUUUCCUUUCAAUGCUGUCCUGGCGCUGUAACAUAAGUCAGGAAGUCAGGCAGGAAAAGCAAUACAAAGGGCAGAGUGGGUUUCCUAGCUCAGAAACAGGUGUAUGUUGCUUAAAAUUUUGGCAGAGGAAAAGAGGAGAGGAAAAACUCUCUGCGGCAGCCAUUCAGCAUCACAGCCUCUGCUGCUCUCUUGCAUGGCAGCUACCCAGGGAGGUGUAAGCACAGAGGUGAUUUAAAAGAUUGAUCCAGAUGAAAUGGAUAAAAAGGAUUCACGUGAUUAAGUAGGCAGGGGUUGAAACAAACAUUUCACCCUACACCCUUCUUUUCCAAAACACGAUCCUGUGUGUUGCCCGCUGCGGGUAGGGUGGGAUGGGGGGUUGGAAACAGAAGGAAAACCAAAGCAGCUCCCAGAGGCUCUCAUCGUGAGAAUUCAGAGCAAAGCAAGCUCGGGAGAUGAGGUUUCGUUGCAGUGUGCACGCCGGGGAGGAAGAGCGCAGCCUGCCUCCCCGCUGCCCCGCAGAAGGACCCGCGGGCGCUCUCAGCCCGACGGCCGUGCUCACUCGCCACGGCAGCCUGGCCUGGGGACACUUGUUGAAAGCCGUCCGGAGCAUCAGAGGGCACAUCAGAGAGCAGAAAGCAGUUUCAGCCACGGGAUUGCUUCUGGUAGCGGCACUCGUUGCCAGUUCCCGAACUGACUUUUGCUGUCUCCCAGGGAAUAUUUUUUUAAUUUAUUUUUUUUUUUUAACCACAGCAAUCUUUAUGCAAGGCAUCAUUUGCAGAACUGGCUGGAAAGAUUUAGAUUGUCAUUUCCUCAGGUUCCCUGUAUCUGAAUCUUCGUCUUUAUUUGACUUCACAUCACUGAGGAAUGCACCCUGGGCUCCUCUGGGAGUAGAGGCUACCCUCGUGAAUUAGGAAAAGUCCCAUGAGUAUGGAGAUAAUUUCACUAUAUCUUGGAUGUGUGAGAUGUGGGAGGACAGCCCCCCUCUUUUUUGAUGCUUGCUUAUGUUGCUGUGUAUGAAAAGUUAUUUCUGAAUGAUGAAAGUGUUUGCCAGGAGUAGACAGGUUGUUAUGAAUGGCAUUGCUUUUGAAUUCUGUUUAUAAUUAGUCUCCUUCCCCGCACACUUUUUUCUUUUUUUUUUUUUUUUUACUUUUUAUUUUUAGGGUCUGUAUCUAGUACAUUUCUUUCCCUUACGUGAAAGACUUAAUAGUCCGUUGCUUGAUUUCCAUGUUAAUUAAGCACGUGGCUUCUCUCAAUAACUGCCACAUCCUCGCUCACUGAAUAUGUACUUUUGCACCCUUAGCAAUGAUCUGACAACAUUAUCAGAGCAAAAUACAUAGAACAAGAAACCGAGGGGAUUAGAUAUCAAGGAGGACACUAUAGGGACCGUGUUAAUUGAGGCGAUCAGCAAGAUUAAGAUAAGUCUUGCUGCUUCCUCAUAUUGGUCUUAAUGGCACAAUGCAGAGCCCAAAGCACUUUACCUGCUGUACAAAUGUGGUUAAGUCGCUUUCUUCCCUAGGGUGUGUAAUCUAAUCUUCCAGAUAAAACACUUAGCAGAGUGAAACCAGCUGGUGUUAAAAGCUGUAUUUCUAAGAUACGGCACCUGUGUAAGGUUUUAAAAACUACUAAAAAUAGCAAAGGCCAAUAAAAGUUGAAAUUUGGUGUGAGUGUGCUUACCUAUAGAGACAGGAGCGUGUGCAUGUUAGUGGGGUGGGUGUGUGUGGGUGCACAGGCUGGCCUGAGCUAGGUUGAUGUUGCUCCAACUUCAAGAGGGGGAUUUGCCCAGGCGAUCUUCGGGGAUCUCUCUGAACAACACUUCCCUGAUUUUCUGAGAGAAUACACAGGAGUGGGGGUGCUACAAUUUAACACCGUCAUUUAUGAAAAGAUCACUCCUGCUCUAAGAAUAUUGGCUUUUCUCUGCAAUUAAAAUGAAGCAGCAAAUGAUUUUGCAUAAAUAGGCUUUGAAUGGGCUUUGAAUAAUGGACGUGUUGUCAAGAAAAAAAAAUAGGCACUACCCAAACCUUUUUCAAAUCAAUUCUUGACAGAGUUCUUCAAACGGAGAUAAACAUUGCUGGUGUAAUGAUUUGCCACAUGACCUUGCACUUGAAGUGCCAAGCGAAGUGAAAAAUAACACACUCAAACAAGAAAAAGUGCUGAUUUUGAUUCCCAAAAUAAUAUUUUUCUAGCUGGAACUAUUUCUGCUAUGGGCUAGCACGCACAUACAGGGAGAAAGUCAAGAUUUUCCUUCAGCAAUAUAUGACAUUUCCCUCUCAACUAGAUAACUGAGAGGCUAUUUGGGCUCGCGAAAAACACUUCUGCACAUCUGGGAGCAAUACAGCUCAAAAGCAAUUUGGGAGGAAGGAUAAGUCUUGCAGUCGAGGCAGAGGAUUAAGAAGGAGAGUUGAGUUGGACUCUGCCCGGCCUGACUUCUGAGACAGCCUCUUCCUCCAUCUGAGCCUCCGGUUCCUGUGGGGUUACAUGGAUCAGGGUCUUCCACUUGCCCGGAGACACUUUUCCACCUCCUGCAUCACCAGAGCCCUUGUUUUCCAUGGACUUAUAGACUGACGUGAGGAGUUUGGCUAGCAAGCAGGAGGAACUGAAAAUAAUCACCAAUGGGAAGAAAUCUGAUAUAACUGGCCUACUGAAACCACCUGGAAGGCUUUGUACGAAGGCAGUGUUAAAAGCACAGGACAAAACCUGCCUGGGCAGGGCACAGGCUGUAAGAGUGGCACGUUCUCCACCAUUCCUGGUUUGGGGAUGGCAGGCAUCUCGGAGGCAGCAAAUCUCCACUCCCUGUGUGUCGGGGAACUGCUUCAUAAACUGCAUCCACUUAUGAAACCAAACCGGUGUCCUUCAGAGCCGGUCCAGGUGCAGACUGGUGUCCUCCUUCGGCGCUGGGCUGUGUGGCAAGAGAAACUGUACCAAAGUAGAACGCACUUCCUAGGGCCAGCUGCCAUUGCUGUCCUGACAAGCUGUGUAACUCCAAGUACCACAUACGCUCGGUGCUUAAAGGAACUGGUUUUCCAAACUGAGAGAAGUUACAAGUGAAACUGAGUGUAAAAAAAUUAUUAGGAAGAAGCACAUACUAAAUGGCCAAAAAGCCAUUACUUCACAGUAAAGGAGCUGAAUAAUAUUGGUGAAAAGCCCAUUCUCUUUCAGCGGAAGAAUGGAGGCAGGAAUAACGAAUUAAAAAGCAAUAUGCAACAUAUGGGAAAAAGGGGGAGGUAAUAAAAAUCCAUAUAAAUAAGAGUUUAUGAAGUGUAGAAAAUUGAUAAAGGAUACUAAAGACAUCAGAAAAAAGUCCAUGGCUGGCCAGGCUUUGUUUAAGAAGAGUUUCUUGAAAACUUACGAAUAAUAGCAGGAAAACUAUCAGUGCCAUAGUCUCAUUACUAGCUGGAGACAGUCAAUUCAUUAAUAUCAAUGAAGAAAAACCCCAACCUGUUCAACAGUUAUCUUUGCUCUCUAUUUGGAAUAAUGUAUUUUCUGACAUAUUACUAAUUAAGAAAGGUCUUCAACAACUUGCACUGGAGUCAACCAUUUUUGAAAGCUGAAGGUCCACAAAAGUGGCCCCCAAGAGUCAAUGUAGGAUAUUUUUAGCUUGUGUAUGUCAAUUUUUAAUAAGUCACGAAAUAAUGGGGAAAUUCUCAAAAGUCAAUGUCAAUAUUAUGUAAAAAUUCCAAGACAAAUGAAACCACGCAGGUAAAUACAGUUUACUUGAUACCAGUCCCAGGCAAAAUAAUGGAGAAAUUGAGGGAAGAUUUAAUUAAUAAAGAUUUAGAAGAUAAGAGUAUAAUUAUUGUGGCCUUAAUGAGAAGGGGGUUGUGAUUUCAGACUGAUCACCUGAGGUGGGGUACACGGUUGAUAGCGGGUAACCAGGCAGGACCAGUCUGUUUAACGUGCAAGGCUUGAGUGCGCUGGUUGCCCAGGACCAAGGCACCAAAGGCCAAAGUGCCACCUCCCCUUGAUGGCCAAGAGAGAUGCUGUAAUUGCCCCCUCCUGCUGUCUCCUAACCCUGCGAGCGGUGGGUACCCCCCAUGGCUGAGGCCACGUGGUGACAGAAGGCACAAAGAAAAAGCCACAAGAGCCAGGGACAUGGGGUCUGAAAUGUCCCAGGUGGGCAGGAGGUGGAGGAGCCUGGUGGCUCCUGGUAGCCUGGGCGGUGGGUGCAAGGGGGCUGGGACUGUGGUGAAAUGAAGGUGUCGUGGUUUGGGCUGGGCCAGCCACUGAAAGAAUGACAGGUACUCUCUUUUACCUCUCUCCCCUUCAGAGAAAGGAGAGCAUCUCCCUUCGGAGGAGAGGAGAGAAAAUGAGAGGAAGAGAGAACUUAUGGGUUGAAAAAGAAACUAAAGUACUUUAAUGAAACAUUGUUAACAAAAUAAUAAAAAGAAAAAAUAAUAAUAUUAAUAAGAAAAUAACAAAAUAUACACAAUAUAUACCAAACCGUAUUGAGCUCAAUUUGAUACCAUACUGUAUUGUCUCAAUUUGAUCACAUCACUGGCAGGCACUGGGAAAGUCCCAGACUGGACUCAGUGUCGGACAGGAGCUGGAUUCCAGAUCUGGAUUCAGGAAAGCAUGGAUUGGGGUCAAAGGCAGACAAACAGACAGAGUCAUACUCAGAUGCUGGCCAUUGAAGAAAGAGGCUGACCCCUUUGAUCCCUCAGCCUUUAUACUGAGCGUGAUGCAGAUGGGGUGGAAUACCCCACUGGUAAGUUUUGGGUCACCUGUCCUGUCCUCUCCUUCCCACAGGUGUGACCCCUCUACGGUCUUCUGCUUCUGACCCUCCAACUCGGUACAUGACAAAGUGAGCUGAUCUUGAUUGUUAUAGCAAUAGGUGUAAGCCAGAGCCUCUCGGCAUACCAUUCCUUGGUAUUCACUAUAAACAUCAGACCUUAUCGGCUAGGAGCGGAUACUGUCUGAAGAAUAUGCCAUUAAUUUCAGAGACUUAUAAGAGGCUUAACUGAAAAGUAAAAUUACUGAACAGAAAAUUGGUUCUGUUUUACCUCAAACCAGGACAGAAGGACACCAAGACAGGGACAGGGGCUCAGCAGGGCAGGAGGCAGGGGUGAAAGCAAGACCAGCAAACAGGCAGCGGGACAGGGAGCUUAGGGGCAGAAUGAGAAACGUUUGAUUUCGGCAAUAAGGUAAUGUUGCUGGAAGAGCUGCAUCCUGAGCAAGGUACGAGGCAGGGUCCCAUGGAUAAAACAGUGGGUGAUUGCGCCGUGCCCCACCGCACUGGCACAUCCAUGCAGUUCAUGCGAAAGGCAAGCAUCCGACUUUAACCACUGAUUUUUGCAAGCAUAGAGAUAUUUCAAAUGGCUUUUCUGUUUUGAUUUGUGGUGCUUUAAUACAGCGAAGUCGUUCAGAAAAAUAAAUAAGGCGAUUACGCAGCAGCCUGCAAAGAAAUAAAUGAAGCGGGGGUGGGAGACAGGGCGGUGUAGGCUGCUUCAGGAAGUGAGGGGAGCCGCUGGACUGUGGGAUGUUCAGUUGGCAAAGAAAUAAAGGAUUAAAAGGAGAGAAGGAAAGGGGCAUGCAAUACAGACUAUAGAGGCUUCAUCAAAUGCCCUUAACUAGCUUUCAUGAAAUGAUGAGUGUGUGACUGAACUACCCUCCUAAAGGAGUGCUCCAGCAGAUUAGCAGGGUAUACAAUGAAGAGUCAUUUUUCUCUUGGAGCUGUUGAAUUCCUUCCUUUUAUUGAAACGGUGAAUUGCAGAUUCUGCUUAUCAAAGGUUCAGGUUCUUUUGGAGCUGCUUGAUCAUGAGCCAUAUUCUGCCUUGACUUCCAGCCCAGGCAUCCCCACCAAGUUCAAUGACAUCUCGUGGAGAGUAAAGCAGGACAGACGUUAGCUUGAUGUUUUCAACAGUGUUGUGGCUGUUAAUGAAGCAUGAUCUGAUCUGGUACAUGUUCAGAGACUGUCGCCAGUGUCUGCAGUGGAAUAGACUGUCUUUAAUGCGAAGAUGCAAUUGAUUCAUCAGGAUGUCAUGUAUACCGGAAAGUAGAACAAGUAUCGUCUUUUGUUUGAUUUUCUUCCCAGUGAGGAGUCAUUCAGAUAAAACAUGCAAGAAAUACUUUGGACAUUUUUGGCAAUGAAAAGGUUUCCUUUUCCCCCACUCCCGCCUCACCCAAAAGUAAUGGAGCUGUCUAGCUUGUUAGAUGCCACAGGCAAGUUUUAAGACUCCCAAUCGAAAAUAAAGAAUGGGAAUUUUGCUUUUAUAAGGAAGAAUUGCAGAAUUGGAAAUGAUCCAUAUUUGGGACAUACAUGCAAGCUGUUAUUCAGAUCAAAGUAUCUAUUUGGAGCUGAAUUACUCAACAGCAUCUAUCUAUGCCUCUUCAACACCUGCGGAUUAGCAAUGUAAUCGUGUGGAGGUUGCUAUAGCUACAUCUCUAGAGCAGGUGGAGUUCUUCGUCUCUUGGAGCACCAUUAUGCUCGUUCUUUGCAAAUAAACCAUGUGAGAGUAUAUUUAAAAUGUCACCCUAGCGGCAUCAGCCCUUGUCUCUAGCUGACACUCUCACAUCAGAUCUGUCCUUAUCCUAUCAACCCUGAUUUCUCUAGAAACAAUGCCACUUCCAUCUGCGCAUCCUGCCUUAAUGGUGUUGAUGGUGAACCGGCACUAGGGCCUUGCCAAUCCAGACGUAGUAAGGUCAUGAAGCAAGUGCUUGAAUUCAAGCUGAGGAGGACUGCUCAAGUUUAGCUCGCAGAUAUGUAGUCUUGCCUCAGGGUUGAUGGCAUGUAAGACUGUAAGCUGGCACUAGGAACGGCACAUAGAAAAACCACCAGCCUUCAGCAACAACACUUUCCAGGACCUGACCGACUGCUCAGACUGCGGCCAGGCAGCGGGAGUGCUGGUUGCGAUGGUUUUCAGCUGGCUGUUUGCCCAAGUCUAUUCCCAAACAAGGGCUGUGCUCGCUUUCUUACAUCAAAUACUUCAGCCUUCUUGUUUGGGCUCCCCUGCUGUUUAUUAUAGCAAAGGGUUGCCCAGAUGACCUUUCCUUCUAGAUGUCUGUCUGCAGUGACUGGCAUAUGCUGUAACCCCUAACCCUCUGCCAGUCAAGCCCACAAGAUGCUAACCUGUGUGAAAACUCAGUAGUGAUCCCUGUACAAAAAGCUGAUAGCCUAAAAGAAGAGCCCUGACAAGCAGGAAAAAAAAUAGACAAGAAGCUAAGAAAGUACCAAAGAGUAGAUAAAAAGCAAAUCAGGAUGCUUUGACUUGUCUAAUUUUGUCAUUCUCCUUGUUCGUCUUUUGCUCUAGCUCUGCAUCAAGUGCAAGCUUUUCAUUCCCCAGUCAAGCAUUACUGAGCAACAACAAGAGAUCCCAGCAACACCACUUUGGAGAGCCCUGCUCCUGGGCAGAAGGUGGGGAAGGAGCUCCCUGCUCGGUACCUUGCGAGGGAGGUGGUCAUUGAGGUUGGGGAAUGGAGAAGACGUACCCACCAUCCCACUGCUUUCCCGUGCAGGUAAAUCCUUCAGCUUGACUGGAGUCAGCGGAAACCUGGUCCGCGUGCCCACAUGGGUCACUCUGCAGAUUUGAGGUUUAAUUAUCCCGUGUAAACCAGAGGUUUCCUCCUGGUGCUCUCUUUCUCCAGCAAGCAGCCCCAAUUCAGGAAAACUUUUCCACUGGUUGAGUAUCAGCCGGUUGGUCUUGGGGUCAUGGAGUCCUGAGGAGCUGGAUGAUGAAAUGCCUGGAUCCAUAGCAGUCCACAGUCGCAUGCUGGUUCCUCUCUGAAAGAGUGCGCUGUAGUACUGACAUCCACUUACUUAUUUAACCACGGGAUAGCUUUUUGUCUGUUUUCUCUAGGCUGUUGUGGGUUUUGUUUCCAGUAGGCGUAUUACUUGAUUAAUGAUCUUUCUGUUAACACUUGCUCAUAUUCCAUAUGGGAUCUUCUUGGGUUAUCUAAAUGCACAAAAUACCUAAAACAAUGUUUUUUCUCAGCUCAACUCUGUUUUUAAUAGCACAACAUAUUUCUCCCUGCCCCACCCCCAAAGAAAAAAGCCUUUUCUGCCUUGUCCAAACUCACAUUGAAUGUUACUUGUGAAUCAUGUUGUCACCUUGUGCAGUAUUCCAAGAAAACAAAGUGUGGACAGGCUCUGUCAGGAAGGGUUUUGUAAUGUAUUUGUCAUUUCUUUUCUGUCUAGAUUAAGGGCUAAAUUUUGUGAUGUAGAUGAAUUUGUAGACCCCAUCUGUCUGAAAUCACACCAGCUAUUCAAAAGAGGGAGGCUGCUUUUUUUUCAACCAAUGAUAAUAGCACUUUUCUGGAUGCGGGUCGAAAAAUAUUUACAUCAGUAUAAAUAAGCAGUGUGUAACUAUAAAUAAAGAACAUAUGUAAUAAAAUGUUAUCAUUGAAGUUGAAAUUAAAAUUGAAUCCUGCCAAGCCCUAAACAUAGAUCAUGACAGAAAAAUCCAAUACACCUUUUUUUUUGGAGGUGCUGUAAUUACAGACUAGGUAAAGGAAAAAAAAGAUUAUACAGCAAACAUAAUUUGUAAUGAUUUCAGUAACAUUUCUGAUGUAAUGCCAUGAAAAGAAUGACUACUUGUGCAUGGCAUCUACAUGGGAAUCUACACCCCGGGGAAUCUACAUCCCCCCUCCAGGAAUUUACAUCCCCCCUCCGAGAGGUGCCAUCCGCAGCACUUACCUUUUAACCCCAGCAAUGCCACAGGCUGUAUGACCAUGGUCUGUACGACCACGGGCUGUAUGACCACAGACCUGUUUCCAAAGAGGAUGCAACGGUGCCCGCUGGGUGACUCCUGCCAGGGCUGUCCCCCCACCCUGUGACCCCCUGCAGCCUGGUCCCCCCACCCGGGGGAGUCCCUGAUGUAAGACCCAAAGACAAAUUGGGAAGAGGUUUCCAAGCGUGGAGAGAAGACCCAUGCAACCAACGGGUAGGUGACAACUCGCAGACCACGAUGUUUGUGGAACACCAAUUCAACACAGUACCUAAACAUAACUUUGUGUUUAUAAAGACCUUCUGGGAUACAAUGCUGCUGAAAUUGCUCUGAAAUCUUAGUUUUGUUCAACUCAUCCUUUGAUUUGGAUGAUAAGGAUGUUUCAAAGGCUGUGAAAGGAAGGAGUAUUUCACAUGUGACCUCAAGGCUUCAGCCAAGCUUGGAACAGGUGUAACAUUUCAAGAUGGGAAAAGAUUGGAAGCCACAACUGUGUCAUCUGAGUGCGUGCUCAGCUGAAGACUUUGUACCACAAUGCCUUCAGAAUGGUACUCACCACUUAAUCCCUCUUCAUGGUUGGACUCGAUGAUCUUAAAGGUCUUUUCCAACCUAAAUGAUUCUAUGAUUCUAUGACAGGGGGUUGUAGCAUGGGGCCACCCCUUGGUGGAUUGCCACCUGCUGCCCAUGUCCCCCAUCGCAUUCUGACCUGACGCAGCUAAGAGAUGCCUCUGCCCCCACCAUGGACUCUCCUGGGGGGCCUGCUCUCAGCACAGGUGCCGCUUGCCCUCCUUGGCCAGGAGAGCUGGGCUCCACUCCUUUCUGGCAGGCAGCUUAACCACGCUGUAACUAACUGCUUUCUGGGUAGUGGUUUUGCAGAGAGAGAUAAACUAAGAAGCCCUAGGGCGAAGGGCUGUGAUGACUGUGCCUAAAACCAAGUCUUUCAUCUCGAAAAAAGUUACUGCGUUAUCGAUGGGGCUUGGUCUGAGCAAUGUGCCCUCCACUGGCAGAGCAGGAAAAAGUUUUUCAUCCACUAGGAGCACAGACCAGUGUGGAAAAGUGCAGGUGGGCUAAAGAACACCCUCAGAGCCAUUCAUGCCGAAGCAGAAAGCAUUCUCUUUCAGUUACUGGGAGUUGAGUCUUUUGUUGCCUCCCUGGUAAGCAAGGCUUGAGGCCAAAAGCAAUUUCUUGUACUUCAAUAGCUGAAAAUAAAGCUUUAAAAAAUAAGAACAUGUCAGGGAAUUAAAUGAGAACCACAAAUUUAGCAGGGCUAGUGAUUGCCCAGGAGAAUAUUGAGGAGAAACGUAUAGAAAAGAGGGUUUUUGAGACACAGUUAAGUGAAUUACUGGUCCCAUCCAUAACAUCUGUUACAGUCCUGGCUGCUGUGUAUUUACUUUCAAAGAAUUCAGCUUCCACUGCUGUCUGCCGAGGAGCCCUAAAUCAGGUGUGCUGAUGCAAUUACUGAAAAUGAAUCUGUCAGAGCAAAUCUCACGUAAUCAAGGAGUUCUGUUUGGGUUCCCCUCCCGAACCCAUCUUUGCCUUGAGGCUAAUCUAAACCAAUGUUCCUCAAACCCAUUGGGAUUGAGCAAUGCAGGUACGAGGCAGACGUACUAAGGUUAACGAAACUUCAAACUAUUUGCCAUGAGCUGGUAAUGGUAUCUGGGAGCCAGCCAUCCACAGGGAAUGUCAAAUGGUGUUAUCUUUGGAUCUCCAUAAAAAAAGUCAGGCUUAUUUUAGUGCCAAGGAGCAGGCACAGCCUGAUGAUAUUUCAGAAGCACCAGCAGCCCCAAAUGGGCAGCAUAGACCCAGAGCUUCUUGCACCUUCGUGCACUGGCCGGUACUUGUUUUGGGAGAACAUGAGUGCAUGACAGAUGAUUUGUACAGUGAGCAUGGCUGAGGAAUAGGUGUGAGAUCUUCAUUUGCUCCUCUGACCUCAGCCCAGUAACUUGGUUCUCUGAGCAAUGAGGUCUUUCUUCGUUUAACUAGACCUCUACUUAAUUGUGCCUUCCUUAUUACAGAUGGGUUUCCCCCCCAACUUGUCCUUUCUCUUUGAUCGGUGCAAGUUUCUGUAGGAAAGGCUGUAUAGCUCAGAUGAAAAUGCUCACAUAAAAGUUUAGGUUUGGCAAAGGUUUCCAACAUAUUUUUUUUAAAGAAGAUGUAAGGUUUUGUUUCCUUACCUUCUUUUUUUUUUAUUGAAGUUUGGGCAAGGCGGGAAAUUUUAAACACAAGUUUUAUAGUUCAUGAGAAAAGAUUGUAUUUUUCUGGCUUUUCUAAAAAAGUCCUACUUUCAGCUUUCAAUUAUUUAUCCAAAUAUUUUUAUUCCCCUCUCUACUCUGGACUUUUGAUCUAUAUGAGGCGGCACUGUGUUUAACCUUGCUAGCACUGAAAGCAAUAAAACGUAAAAUGAAUAGGUGAAAAGGGACAGUAAAUCCCCAUUGCAGAAUUAUCUGGCAGGCCCUGAGACAUGGGAAGACGUCAACAAAAUAAAAUUUAUUUAAUAUUGAUGAAUGUGACAGCAACGCACCUGGAGAGGAAUAACAACAAUCAACACAGAUAUUUAGAAAAGAUUAAUAUAGAAAAAGACCUUGGGGUUGUAAUGGGUAAUGAAGGGCCUAAGAGCUCGUGUUGCGAGGAGGGCGAUCGCUCUCCCAGGGUGUAGAGCGUAAAGAGGGAUCUGUCGUGUGACAAAAAGGGAGUGAUGAGCGCAGCAUUUUGCAGUCUGGGUAAGGCUGGAGCCGGAGCCCGGCACGCAUUUUUAAGCCUCAGAUUCUAAAAAGAACACUGGGAAGUGGCAGAGUACUUAAGGAUGGGCAGGGGGAACGGUGAAGGGAACUGCAUGUGACAGACGUGAUGGAAAGCAAUUUGCGGGGCAGGAGGGAGCCCCAGCUAGCGCUGGGAGGAACUAAUAUUUGUGAGCCAUUAGGAUGGACCUUCCCUGCAGCAGAGACAGUAAAAGGGUCUUGAAUUAAAAGUGGAACAAUCCCAUUUAGAUACAAGAGAAAUGACUUAAUAAUAAGGGCUAUUACACAGGCAAUCGAAUAAGCUGUCUGGUGAGCAACUGAACGCGAGUCGCUAUUGGGAGAAGGUUUCCAAGGUGGGACCAGAACAAGUAGCAGUGGGAUUACCAUAGAAAAGGCCUCUCAGCAUCAUUUGAGCACAGCUGAUCCAAAAGGUCCUUUGCCACUGUUUUCAUUUGCGGUUCUGGGAUGUCGCAGGCUGCAAAAAAACUACUCCACACACAACAGAAGAGGCGAUACACCCAGCUUAUUAAUUAAAUCCAUCUGCCACACGCAAUAAGCCUACACCAUGAUUGGGACAAAAGGUCCAGCCCUACCAGCCUCCCCCCAGAUGUCCCAUCUGCUUUACAAGCACUUGCAAGAGCAGGUCCAGAAGCAGGAGACGCUGCGUUCGGAGUCAUCCGCAGAGGUGGCUUUUACCACACGCGUUUGCAAAGGAUGCUGGCUGGCACAGCUCAUGUCUAUUGUGAAAUGUUUGCUUCUGGAAUUUGCAAUGCUUGUACCAGUUAAAUACUGAAUUAUCAUAAAUGUAAUUUACAUGUUUCCCAAAUAAGGGAAUGCAAGCAGA